RNAcentral lists this ribosomal RNA (253 nucleotides) under uncultured bacterium. RNAcentral's name for it is "partial 16S ribosomal RNA". It matches the Rfam family "Bacterial small subunit ribosomal RNA", at positions 524 to 776 of the family's 1533-position model. The record is from RNAcentral.
UACAGAGGUCUCAAGCGUUGUUCGGAUUCAUUGGGCGUAAAGGGUGCGUAGGUGGCGGGGUUAGUCAGGUGUGAAAUCUCGGGGCUCAACCCCGAAACUGCACUUGAUACUGCCUUGCUAGAGUACUGGAGAGGAGAUUGGAAUUUACGGUGUAGCAGUGAAAUGCGUAGAUAUCGGAAGGAAGACCAGUGGCGAAGGCGAAUCUCUGGACAGUUACUGACACUGAGGCACGAAGGCCAGGGGAGCAAACGGG